Long non-coding RNA from Alosa sapidissima (American shad), 214 nucleotides. RefSeq lists it as uncharacterized. NCBI's taxonomy places the organism in Eukaryota, Metazoa, Chordata, Actinopteri, Clupeiformes, Clupeidae. The record is from RefSeq and is a predicted model, not a curated record. The transcript is spliced from 2 exons.
CUUGCCUCUGUAGCCUUCAUCAGAGGUGUCACGUGAUCACCCCAGGGGACACGGCCAUCCCACCACAUCAGGUGGGAUGGAAAACUCCAUAUAACACAGCUCAGACGACGUCACACCAACAUCACGUGACACCUCUGAUGAAGGCUACAGAGGCAAGGUAGCCGAAACUUGUCAGGUACACAAUUUUACCUUAUUGGCUUGUACAGAGAAACAG